GACGAACGCUGGCGGCGUGCUUAACACAUGCAAGUCGAACGGAAAGGCCCUGCUUUUGUGGGGUGCUUGAGUGGCGAACGGGUGAGUAACACGUGAGUAACCUGCCCUUGACUUUGGGAUAACUUCAGGAAACUGGGGCUAAGACCGUAUAGGAGCUCCUGCUGCAUGGUGGGGGUUGGAAAGUUUCGGCGGGUGGGGAUGGACUCGCGGCUUAUGAGCUUGUUGGUGGGGUAGUGGCUUACCAAGGCUUUGACGGGUAGCCGGCAUGAGAGGGUGACCGGCCACAUUGGGACUGAGAUACGGCCCAGAGUGCUACGGGAGGCAGCAGUGGGGAAUAUUACACAAUGAGCGGAAGCCUGAUGCAGCAACGCCGCGUGCGGGAUGACGGCCUUCGGGUUGUAAACAGCUUUCGGCUGUGACGAAGCGUGAGUGACGGUAAUGGGUAAAGAAGCACCGGCUAACUACGUG
Molecule: ribosomal RNA, 468 nt
Filed under: uncultured bacterium
Lineage: Bacteria
Description: partial 16S ribosomal RNA
Rfam family: Bacterial small subunit ribosomal RNA
Source: RNAcentral